GUCAGGAAAAAAAUUUCGGCAUGUUAUUAUCAAAUCUGUUCAAUUUUUCUGAAAUCAUGCUUAAUUAACAUUAGUUGUUCGGCGCUACGAUGUUGUUCAAAUACUUACAUUACAGAAUCACAUUAUGAUUAAAGCAGAAACGGCUCGACUUGAACCAGCAGCAGACGGAAGAUAUGGACGAACAACAAGAAGAAGUUAUGGAGGUCCCAACAACUGAACCUAUGGAAGUAGAAGAAUCGUUUACAGCCAAAACCCGAUACGAUGUGUCAGUUCCGGUCAUGGAGUCCUCCAUCUCAGACGAUGCCGACGUUAGUGUCUUCUGCGACGAAGAACCCGUAGUGGUGUAUACGCAGGUAGAAGCUGGUUCCUCCCGUGGCAAGUCCAAGUUGUUUGACAACCAAGGGUUUAGUUAUACAAUUAAGACAAAGAAGAAAACUACGAUUUGGAGGUGUUCCAUCUUCACCCAGCAGAACCCGGUAUAAACACGGCUACCAAGAUAAAAGUUACAGCAAAGCAUGAAGCCAAAGGAAAUGUUUUUACUAAGUCAUGUUCCUCAAUAGCGGAGAGAGUUUUAUCCAGUGUCGGUUCUGCAGAAGAACCCAUUCAUAGCAGACCACCCAUGGCAGCACUUGUAAGGUCGCUACAAAGAACCCGACAGACUCUGCGACCAAAAGAUCCCACUGACGUGUCGUCAAGCCUUGACGAAGAUUUCAUCGAUCAUAGUGCACCGGGAUUUUAUCAAAAAAGAGUAAAAGUUGGGGAAAGGCGCCAUCACAUUUUUUGUACUGAUAGACAGAUGCAACUACUCGCACGCGCAAAAACUUGGUAUAUGGAUGCAACUUUUCGGGUGGUGAACAAGCCAUGGUCUCAGCUGUUUUCCAUCCACGCCUUCAUUAAGACUGGAGAGACCACCCGACAGUUACCAUUGGUGUUUUGUGUAAUGUCGGGUAAAAGCCAAGACGACUAUUAUAAGUCAAUGAUGAUAUGUGACUCUUUCCACCUUCCAGCAAUAAUUAUUGAGAAUUUACCAAGGACUCCAUUGGCAUUGAAUCGAAGAAAAACAGUUUCAAUACUGGAUGUAUAUGCAAAUCACCCAGAAAAAGAUCAUGUAAUAACAAAAGAAAUUAUAAAAUAAAAAAAUGGAAGAAGAAAUGGCUGGAAAAAAUGAUGAUAGAGCAGCUUUUUCUUGUUACCCACCUCGGAAGAUCAAGUUGGAAAGGGCUAUUGAUAUUGUGGAGACGUUUUCUCACAGAUCUUGCUUAUCAGACAAAGACUAUGCUGGAACACCAUUGAAAGAGUAUUUGCUGUAUGAUAACAACAAGAAAACCCAAGCAUCAAUUUAUUUUAUACUUCUGGGAAAGAAUGCAUUUGACCCAAUUUUUAAAUAUUUAUUUUUUGUUAUUAAUGUUAAAUUUUCUUCCAAAACACAAUUAGAUUUUAAUUCUCUUCAGAAAUGUAUGUAUAAUAUAGCAAGUAAAGUGACAUAUAAAUCACUUAGAAUUUGGUCAGAAAUCAUAAAGUAUUUAAUAGGCAUUACUAGAAACCAAAUGUAGAUCAAAUACACCCAGAAUUACAAAAAACCUUGACCUACAUAAAGGUGACUUUCCCUUGCUUAUGAAAUGAAAUACGGUUUAGUAUCCUACUUUUCUGUGUUCUUAGAGUGAUUCUGCCCUACACCCUACUCUUAUAUCAAAUAGUUCAACUGUCAAGGGUUCUUUAAC
Patella vulgata (common limpet) is the source of this 1721-nucleotide long non-coding RNA. RefSeq lists it as uncharacterized. The transcript has 9 exons. Lineage: Eukaryota; Metazoa; Mollusca; Gastropoda; Patellidae. The record is from RefSeq and is a predicted model, not a curated record.